GGAGGCGUUCCUCGUCUGGUGACGGGCGCGGUCUUCAACACCGACGUGACCGGGACACCCGGUCAGGCGGGUUCGAUUCCCGUCCGCCUCCGCCA
RNAcentral lists this transfer RNA (95 nucleotides) under Phycicoccus endophyticus. RNAcentral describes it as "tRNA-Sec". It matches the Rfam family "Selenocysteine transfer RNA". The record is from RNAcentral. RNAcentral also lists the same sequence under 1 other name. Lineage: Bacteria; Bacillati; Actinomycetota; Actinomycetes; Micrococcales; Intrasporangiaceae.